CAUAACGACUCUCGGCAACGGAUAUCUCGGCUCUCGCAUCGAUGAAGAACGNAGCGAAAUGCGAUACUUGGUGUGAAUUGCAGAAUCCCGUGAACCAUCGAGUCUUUGAACGCAAGUUGCGCCCGAAGCCGUCAGGCCGAGGGCACGUCUGCCUGGGCGUCACGCA
Molecule: ribosomal RNA, 166 nt
Filed under: Solanum carolinense (ball nightshade)
Lineage: Eukaryota; Viridiplantae; Streptophyta; Magnoliopsida; Solanales; Solanaceae
Description: 5.8S ribosomal RNA
Rfam family: 5.8S ribosomal RNA
About the family: 5.8S ribosomal RNA (5.8S rRNA) is a component of the large subunit of the eukaryotic ribosome.
Source: RNAcentral